CGGAAAACGGCGAGUUCAACCGAUUGUGACACACAACACGCCCGAACACACAGCCAGCGGAAAGCUCUAAGUGCUUACAACAUGUUGGACAUUAUUACCCCCCAGGAUAACCUGGGGAGGCGCUAGAAGGACAAUAGUUUUAUCCCACCGGGUACCCACCAUCUGCUGGGUGAACAGGGACAAUUUUUUAACAAACUCACUUGCCUCCUGGUAAGACCACACAUGUGUCAUGUGUACUUCGUUGUGGAGCAGGACAGAAGUCCAAGAAACAGAAAUCAAGCUACCGAACACGGUCACCCAUCCAGGAUCUCUCCGUGACCAACGUUCCUUAACUUCAUCUUUUUGUGGCCUUGGGCUCUAUGCCCAUGAAAUUGUAUAUAUGCCAAUAUAAUUUGGUUAGUGCAAAACUAUAUUUCGACACAAUUAUUUGUAAAUUUGUGGUUGUUAAUUUUGCAAUUUCAAUGUAUUCAUAUAUCAUUUGAAUUAAAUAUUGAAUAUAUUAUGUACUAUGAAACUUAUUACAUUUUCUUGAAUUUAUAGAAAGCUAUUGUUUAUUUUAGUUUUCUGAACCUCAUCAACGUAACAACUAUACUCAACUCAAAGCAACUAAUAUUCAUCUGUGUAAUCCUCAGUCACAGCCAUGUACAAUGAACUGUAAAAUCUAAUGUUAAUAGUAUUACAAUAAACCCUGUUGAUGCGA
This is a long non-coding RNA of Haliotis rubra (blacklip abalone), 700 nucleotides long. RefSeq lists it as uncharacterized. The transcript is spliced from 2 exons. The record is from RefSeq and is a predicted model, not a curated record. Lineage: Eukaryota; Metazoa; Mollusca; Gastropoda; Lepetellida; Haliotidae.